Molecule: long non-coding RNA, 834 nt
Organism: Planococcus citri (citrus mealybug)
Lineage: Eukaryota; Metazoa; Arthropoda; Insecta; Hemiptera; Pseudococcidae
Exons: 2
Source: RefSeq, a predicted model, not a curated record
UAUAGUGAUGAAGGUUGGAUCAAUAAAAAAAAAAUUUGACGGAACAUUGAAAAUCGAAAAUUUUAUUUUGUGUAACUCUUAAAAUAUCGGGUGGAAAACUAUUCAUCCAAAAAGCAAUCAAAAUUAAAUUGAUCUUUGUAUAUUUUGACGUCAGUUGUGAUUGGAAAAAUAAUUUGAAAAUGAAAAAUUCUGUACGACUUACCUAUACCUAUACCUAAAGCUAGGUUUUUAACCUCUCGAGCUUCGAAUUUCGACACAGGUACUAAUUUAUAAAAACUAUAUAAAACAUCGACGAAUUUUUAUGAAUUCGCAACCUUCAUCAAAACAUUUGAAAACUAAUCAAGUUUUAAUUGAAAAUUACCUUAACUGGGUAUCGUCGAUUGAAUAUAAUAGCCUAGCAAAACUGUAAAGAAUUCAGUAUACUUUCGAAUAUCUUGCCAAAAUUUUCAAAAUAAAGAAUAACCGAGUGGAAAAAAAUGAGGAAAGCGUCGAUGCAAAUUAUUUUGAUAUUUUUCGUGAUGUCGAUCGAUUACAUCGCUGGAGACGAUGGCAUAGUAGAAAUAGAGUAUAACGACGCGGGUGACAUAAGAUGUGAAUGCACACGUUGUUCUCCUGUCGAAAAGGCGUACGCUGCGAACUAUAAUUUUAGAGAAGGACCAUAUAGCUAUCAUUGCGGACCAGGUGGGUUUUUCAAUAAUAUAGAAGGUUGGUGCCACUGCAAGCAAAUUGAAAGUCGCCGUCGACGACGAAUGGUGGAUGAUUUUUUGAUGAAAAUUCGGGAGUAUUGGGAGUAAUUUUUGUGAAAAUGCAGCCAAUACAUACUUGUUUUAGUUA